UACGUAGGUGGCAAGCGUUGUCCGGAAUUAUUGGGCGUAAAGCGCGCGCAGGCGGUCCUUUAAGUCUGAUGUGAAAGCCCACGGCUCAACCGUGGAAGGUCAUUGGAAACUGGAGGACUUGAGUACAGAAGAGGAAAGCGGAAUUCCACGUGUAGCGGUGAAAUGCGUAGAGAUGUGGAGGAACACCAGUGGCGAAGGCGGCUUUCUGGUCUGUAACUGACGCUGAGGCGCGAAGCGUGGGAGCAAACAGG
RNAcentral lists this ribosomal RNA (251 nucleotides) under uncultured bacterium. RNAcentral describes it as "partial 16S ribosomal RNA". It matches the Rfam family "Bacterial small subunit ribosomal RNA", at positions 524 to 776 of the family's 1533-position model. The record is from RNAcentral.